This 23-nucleotide microRNA is filed under the name Anolis carolinensis (green anole). RNAcentral's name for it is "aca-miR-18b-3p". Its record names the gene aca-miR-18b-3p. The record is from miRBase by way of RNAcentral. Lineage: Eukaryota; Metazoa; Chordata; Lepidosauria; Squamata; Anolidae.
UACUGCCCUGAAUGCUCCUUCUG